UGCCGGCUUGAUGUGGAUGUAUCUUUCCGUGAGGAUGGACAGAAGGUGGGAGCGGGUUUCAUUGUCAGAGACUCCUCAGGUACAAUCAUUUUUGCCGGUGCCCGACCGAUUGGAUUCACGCCUACGGUUUUACUUGGGGAACUCCACGCUAUGAUGAUUGCUAUUGGCUUUUGCCUUGAACAAGAUAUCGGUCCAGUCUUUAUUUUCUCCGACUCCCUUCUUGCUAUUCAUGUGCUUCAGGAUGAGAGGGGAGGGUCUGAUUCUCUCUGUGAUGAUUUGUGGGAGGUCUUUGAGCAUGCGCGCAAGUACGUGGUGUUGGAGUUUUGUCAUGCUCGAAGAAGUGCAAAUAGAGCGGCUCAUGCUUUAGCUGCUUCUGCUGUGGUUUCUCAGGGUGAGCAAACGUGGACGUCAGACUUUCCUGUUUGGCUUCUUGAUAUUGUAAACUCUGAUAUGGUUUGAUUUAUAUGAUACGCCUUUUCUCU
Molecule: long non-coding RNA, 482 nt
Filed under: Salvia miltiorrhiza (redroot sage)
Lineage: Eukaryota; Viridiplantae; Streptophyta; Magnoliopsida; Lamiales; Lamiaceae
Description: long non-coding RNA (SMIL_LNC012853)
Source: RNAcentral